RNAcentral lists this long non-coding RNA (1086 nucleotides) under Oryctolagus cuniculus (rabbit). RNAcentral's name for it is "lncRNA (ENSOCUG00000032346.1)". The record is from RNAcentral. Lineage: Eukaryota; Metazoa; Chordata; Mammalia; Lagomorpha; Leporidae.
GGAAACAGGAGGCGAGAGGGAGGAGGCGCUUAAAGCAAGCUGGUGGGGCGGGGGUGAGCAUUGCCAUUGUCCGGGGGCGGUUACUGAGAAGGUGGCGUUGGAACAGGGAAUCCCCGGUAGGUGAGGGAGUGAGCGCCUCCGAGGAAGGCACAGUGCAGACAGAAACUUCAGUGAGAGAAGAGACCUCGUUAGUGUGGGCUUUGGCUGGUGGACGCCUCCCUGAGGGGCUGGGCCAGGGGCAGAAGAGAGGGGGUAUCGCGAGGCACAUCCCUGGGCAGGCCAGCCCUGCCGAAUCCUGCAAGGCCUGGAUCCCCAAGUGGUCCUGUACCCUUCGGGGUCCACAGCCCCCCAACGCUGCAUGUGCAGCCUCAGAGCCCAUCGGGCCCUUCCUGGAGCCAGUGGCGUCCUCCGGGAGGGCACAGCUACCCUCGGCUUGGCCUCUUCCCUCCCUUCUUUCUUUUCUCUCUCUAUUUUUUAAGAUUUAUUUAUUUAUUUAUUUGAAAGUCAAAGUUACACAUAGAAGGAGAGGUAGAGAGGUCCUCCAUCUGCUGGUUCAUUCCCCAAAUGGCCCCAAAGUCCGGAGCUGCACUGAUCUGAAACCAGGAGCCAGGAGCUUCUUCUGGGUCUCCCAUGUGGGUUCAGGGGUCCAAGGACUUGGCCAUCUUCUACUGCUCUCCCAGGCCAUAGCAGAGCACUGGAUUGGAAGUAGAGCAGCUGGGACUUGAACCGGUGCCCAUACAGGAUGCUGGCACUGCAGGCAGUGGCUCUAACCGCUCUGCCACAGCGCCAGUCCCUACCUCCCUCCUUUCAACUCCUGACACAAGGCACUCAAGACACAGACACAGGCAACACCCUUGGCAAAAGGACACAGCGUGCUACACUCUGUGCAGCUCCCUCCAGCCUUGAACCCGAGAGCUGCUUUGAGCCCAGGAAAUGGCUUCGGCCCCAUUCCUGUGUCCACAGAGGCAUGGGGUGGUUGCACCUGGAUGGUUUGCCUCUGCCGCCAGUCCUGGGCACGUGCGUUUAGAUGGAACUUCCUCCUCCACUGAAUGCCCUCCCUUCCUCCCACACCUGCACAUGUCACAC